GGCUCGUUGGUCUAGGGGUAUGAUUUCUCGUUUCGGGUGCAGAGGUCCCGGGUUCAAUCCCGGACGAGCCC
Molecule: transfer RNA, 71 nt
Filed under: Astyanax mexicanus (Mexican tetra)
Lineage: Eukaryota; Metazoa; Chordata; Actinopteri; Characiformes; Acestrorhamphidae
Rfam family: tRNA
About the family: Transfer RNA (tRNA) molecules are approximately 80 nucleotides in length. Their secondary structure includes four short double-helical elements and three loops (D, anti-codon, and T loops).
Source: Rfam by way of RNAcentral